GAAAGUUGACCUCGGAUCAGGUAGGGAUACCCGCUGAACUUAAGCAUAUCAAUAAGCGGAGGAAAAGAAACCAACAGGGAUUGCCCCAGUAACGGCGAGUGAAGCGGCAACAGCUCAAAUUUGAAAUCUGGCCCCCCCCCGCGGGGCCCGAGUUGUAAUUUGCAGAGGAUGCUUUUGGCGCGGCGCCUUCCGAGUUCCCUGGAACGGGACGCCAUAGAGGGUGAGAGCCCCGUCUGGUCGGACGCCUAGCCUCUGUAAAGCUCCUUCGACGAGUCGAGUAGUUUGGGAAUGCUGCUCUAAAUGGGAGGUAUAUGUCUUCUAAAGCUAAAUACUGGCCAGAGACCGAUAGCGCACAAGUAGAGUGAUCGAAAGAUGAAAAGCACUUUGAAAAGAGGGUUAAACAGUACGUGAAAUUGUUGAAAGGGAAGCGCUUGUGACCAGACUUGGGCGCGGCGAAUCAUCCGGCGUUCUCGCCGGUGCACUUCGCAGCGCCCGGGCCAGCAUCAGUUCGCGGCGGGGGACAAAGGCGCCGGGAACGUGGCUCCCCCGGGAGUGUUAUAGCCCGGCGCGCAAUGCCCCGCGGCGGACUGAGGUUCGCGCAUCCGCAAGGAUGCUGGCGUAAUGGUCACCAGUGACCCGUCUUGAAACACGGACCAAGGAGUCGUCCUCGUAUGCGAGUGUUCGGGUGUCAAACCCCUACGCGCAAUGAAAGUGAACGCAGGUGAGAGCCUUUGGCGCAUCAUCGACCGAUCCUGAUGUUCUCGGAUGGAUUUGAGUAAGAGCAUACGGGGCCGGACCCGAAAGAAGGUGAACUAUGCCUGUGUAGGGUGAAGCCAGAGGAAACUCUGGUGGAGGCUCGCAGCGGUUCUGACGUGCAAAUCGAUCGUCAAACAUGGGCAUGGGGGCGAAAGACUAAUCGAACGUGCAGUGCG
This 932-nucleotide ribosomal RNA is filed under the name Ophiocordyceps lanpingensis. RNAcentral's name for it is "eukaryotic LSU rRNA". It matches the Rfam family "Eukaryotic large subunit ribosomal RNA", at positions 1 to 950 of the family's 3401-position model. The record is from RNAcentral. Lineage: Eukaryota; Fungi; Ascomycota; Sordariomycetes; Hypocreales; Ophiocordycipitaceae.